RNAcentral lists this long non-coding RNA (382 nucleotides) under Rattus norvegicus (Norway rat). RNAcentral describes it as "long non-coding RNA NONRATT009741". The record is from RNAcentral. Lineage: Eukaryota; Metazoa; Chordata; Mammalia; Rodentia; Muridae.
UUUCUGUGCCAUGGAGAAGAUGUUUUUCACAGUAUGAACAGGUAACCAGCAAUGAAGACCUGCCAAUCCCAAUGGAAAACCCCUAUAAAGAGCCUCUUAAGAAGUGCGUCUUGUGUGAGAAACGUGUAGAUUACAAGAAUGUACAGGUCUUUGUGGGAAGAAGCAGAAGGAAGUGACUAAAGCCAUUAAGCGAGCUCAGAAAAUGGGAAAUCAGGAAAUGCCAUGAAACUUCACCUGCUGAGCUAUUAUCAAGGCUGUUCCAGACACGGAGCCAGGAAUGCCACUCGACAUUUCGGCCUGGGGUUGGGGUGAUACUCCUCUGUUUCACCCAGGUCCCUGAUGUCUGACAGAAAAUGAAUUAGAGUAAAGUAAAAAUGAGCAA